Molecule: long non-coding RNA, 1426 nt
Organism: Diceros bicornis minor
Lineage: Eukaryota; Metazoa; Chordata; Mammalia; Perissodactyla; Rhinocerotidae
Exons: 3
Source: RefSeq, a predicted model, not a curated record
GACUGGUCUCUUCCUGCAGGCCGCAGAAUGGUUUGGAAAGGCGCUUUUCUGAAUAAUAGUCCAAUCCCUCAUGUUUUCGUCAUAUAAAUUACGGGCAGCAGAGCUCGGUGACACCCGGGCGGGAGGCCCCGCGCUGGCCGCGGCGACCAUCCCCCGGCAGAAACUGUUGCCCACCCGGCUUUCCGCAGAGCUGUGACCUGGGGCCCCAGACCCCUCCAUCCUCCCCACGCUCCCGGAACCCCUUUGUCCCCGCUUCCCAGUCGGGGACGACCCUCCCAGGAGCCCUGUGGCCGCGCGCUUUUUCUUCCUCUCUGGGACGGAAGCGGAGCCUGGGGCGCUCUGGCGCAGACCCUGAGGAAUCGUGACUCUUGGUGGCUGGCUUCGUACUGUUACAUUGUAUUUUACUUAUUUUUAAAACUGAGGGUGGCCGGAGACAAAGUAGAAAAGGAAGACGAUCCCGCCUCCUCCCAGAAUGAAGAGUGAGGAUUCUUCAUCUCUGCAACAAACAUUUUAUUGAACAUCUACCAGGUGUGACACAGGUGUGGUACCUGGCAUGUAGUAGGAACUCAACAAAUCCAGCAAGGAACUGAAGCCUCCUACCAACAGCCAUGUGUGUGAGCCAUCUUUCAAACAGAUCUUCCAGCUUCACUCAAGUCUUCCAAAGACGAUAGCCCCACCUGAGAUCUUGACUGCAAUACCCAGAACCAGAACUGCCCAGUGAAGCUGCUCCCAAAUUCCUGACCUACAGAAACUGUGCGAGAUAAUAAAAGUUUAUUGUUUUAAGUUGUUAAGUUUUGGGGAUAAUGUGUUGUGUAGCAAUAGAUAACAAACAUUCCCUCACGUAAAAUUAUGCGUCCUCAGAACAGAAUAAUUAGUUUGUGUUUAUGGUGGGUGUUUAGGUAUAUUGGUAACCAUCGGAAGCCUGGCAGUAAUCGCUAGGAGGCUGAUGACUGAGGCCACUCUUGCUCCCUUACCCAGAGGCUGGCAUUAUCCUCAGGCAGGAUGACUUUGAAGGCCAGGCGUUGGUGUGGUGGCCAUCUUUGGGCCUUCUAGUCCUGAUCUGUUGUUAGAUUGCCUGCAUUCCCUGUCGAGGUCUUAGUUAGGUUAGCUCAAGGCCAGGGAGUGUCCUUCCAGAAGAAGACAUACAACACACAAGCAGUUUUGCAUUGAGGACUGGACCUCGGUUCAUGGAGAUGAGGCAUUGGCCACAUCUUUAGCCUUGCUUGGAGAUGGACUGGGGCAAAAUAAUUUAUCGUUUCUCCCUGUCAUGUGUCCCCAUUCCCACCCAAUCCCUGGUUGUGUGUGAAGUUUUGGUGCUGGGUUGGGAAGGGGAAAGAAUUGAGAGGGAAGUCGGAAAUUAUUUUAAUUGUACAGCUUAUGAAAUCUCUGUAAAAUCUCCAUCUUUCCACCAGGACAUGGCCUGACU